This 460-nucleotide ribosomal RNA is filed under the name uncultured bacterium. RNAcentral's name for it is "partial 16S ribosomal RNA". It matches the Rfam family "Bacterial small subunit ribosomal RNA", at positions 338 to 795 of the family's 1533-position model. The record is from RNAcentral.
CCUACGGGAUGCAGCAGUGAGGAAUAUUGGUCAAUGGGCGCUAGCCUGAACCAGCCAAGUAGCGUGAAGGAUGACUGCCCUAUGGGUUGUAAACUUCUUUUAUAUGGGAAUAAAGUGCAGUAUGUAUACUGUUUUGCAUGUACUUUAUGAAUAAGGAUCGGCUAACUCCGUGCCAGCAGCCGCGGUAAUACGGAGGAUCCGAGCGUUAUCCGGAUUUAUUGGGUUUAAAGGGAGCGUAGGCGGGUUGUUAAGUCAGUUGUGAAAGUUUGCGGCUCAACCGUAAAAUUGCAGUUGAUACUGGCAUCCUUGAGUACAGUAGAGGUAGGCGGAAUUCGUGGUGUAGCGGUGAAAUGCUUAGAUAUCACGAAGAACUCCGAUUGCGAAGGCAGCCUGCUGGACUGUAACUGACGCUGAUGCUCGAAAGUGUGGGUAUCGAACAGGAUUAGAUACCCGUGUAGUC